ACAACUCCCAACUCAUAUUGCACGGUAUCAUCAACCGCAGCGCUGGGUUUCGUCUGAUAAGCUGAGGCAGCGACGUUCUUGUUCACUAUCUUCAAUUGGUCGUCCACCAUCGCCUUCGAGUGCAUCUCGCCACCGUCCUCGGCAAACUUCUGGCCACCGUGGACCUUCUUCACAACCUCCGGUUGGUGAUACCGUACAUCUUCCAAUUCAGGAAUUCCCUCUUCCUCUCUCACUUCCCUGGGAUCCCUGCUCGGAGUGUAGCUGCCGUAGUAGUUCGCCACCGCCGGAGUAUCAAAGAAGUUAAGGUAAUCCCA
RNAcentral lists this unclassified non-coding RNA (314 nucleotides) under Hevea brasiliensis (rubber tree). Lineage: Eukaryota; Viridiplantae; Streptophyta; Magnoliopsida; Malpighiales; Euphorbiaceae. The record is from RNAcentral.